UACGAACGCUGGCGGCGUGCUUAACACAUGCAAGUCGAACGGAAAGGCCCUGCUUUUGUGGGGUGCUCGAGUGGCGAACGGGUGAGCAACACGUGAGUAACCUGCCCUUGACUUUGGGAUAACUUCAGGAAACUGGGGCUAAUACCGGAUAGGAGCUCCUGCUGCAUGGUGGGGGUUGGAAAGUUUCGGCGGUUGGGGAUGGACUCGCGGCUUAUCAGCUUGUUGGUGGGGUAGUGGCUUACCAAGGCUUUGACGGGUAGCCGGCCUGAGAGGGUGACCGGCCACAUUGGGACUGAGAUACGGCCCAGACUCCUACGGGAGGCAGCAGUGGGGAAUAUUGCACAAUGGGCGGAAGCCUGAUGCAGCAACGCCGCGUGCGGGAUGACGGCCUUCGGGUUGUAAACCGCUUUCGCCUGUGACGAAGCGUGAGUGACGGUAAUGGGUAAAGAAGCACCGGCUAACUACGUGCCAGCAGCCGCGGUGAUACGUAGGGUGCGAGCGUUGUCCGGAUUUAUUGGGCGUAAAGGGCUCGUAGGUGGUUGAUCGCGUCGGAAGUGUAAUCUUGGGGCUUAACCCUGAGCGUGCUUUCGAUACGGGUUGACUUGAGGAAGGUAGGGGAGAAUGGAAUUCCUGGUGGAGCGGUGGAAUGCGCAGAUAUCAGGAGGAACACCAGUGGCGAAGGCGGUUCUCUGGGCCUUUCCUGACGCUGAGGAGCGAAAGCGUGGGGAGCGAACAGGCUUAGAUACCCUGGUAGUCCACGCUGUAAACGGUGGGUACAAGGUGUGGGGUCCAUUCCACGGGUUCCGUGCCGUAGCUAACGCUUUAAGUACCCCGCCUGGGGAGUACGGCCGCAAGGCUAAAACUCAAAGGAAUUGACGGGGCCCCGCACAAGCGGCGGAGCAUGCGGAUUAAUUCGAUGCAACGCGUAGAACCUUACCUGGGUUUGACAUGGAUCGGGAGUGCUCAGAGAUGGGUGUGCCUCUUUUGGGGUCGGUUCACAGGUGGUGCAUGCCUGUCGUCAGCUCGUGUCGUGAGAUGUUGGGUUAAGUCCCGCAACGAGCGCAACCCUUGUUCACUGUUGCCAGCACGUUAUGGUGGGGACUCAGUGGAGACCGCCGGGGUCAACUCGGAGGAAGGUGGGGAUGACGUCAAGUCAUCAUGCCCCUUAUGUCCAGGGCUUCACGCAUGCUACAAUGGCUGGUACAGAGAGUGGCGAGCCUGUGAGGGUGAGCGAAUCUCGGAAAGCCGGUCUCAGUUCGGAUUGGGGUCUGCAACUCGACCUCAUGAAGUCGGAGUCGCUAGUAAUCGCAGAUCAGCAACGCUGCGGUGAAUACGUUCCCGGGGCU
RNAcentral lists this ribosomal RNA (1346 nucleotides) under uncultured bacterium. RNAcentral's name for it is "partial 16S ribosomal RNA". It matches the Rfam family "Bacterial small subunit ribosomal RNA", at positions 28 to 1381 of the family's 1533-position model. The record is from RNAcentral.